GCGCGGUGGUGCUGGGGCCGGGCGUCGGAGUGAGCUCCGAAGUGUGAGUUAGUCCGAAGGAGUGUUGUAUGUGCUUGUGUGCGUACGUACGGCAGGAGGGAGUUAGCGCACUACGGGCAUCGAUGGAUGUCUGCACGGGGAGGGCAGUACUGCGUGGAAGAGAUAUACGUGUGACACGUAUAACCAAGAUGCUCCGAGUUAUG
This 203-nucleotide long non-coding RNA is filed under the name Gallus gallus (chicken). RNAcentral's name for it is "long non-coding RNA NONGGAT001114". Lineage: Eukaryota; Metazoa; Chordata; Aves; Galliformes; Phasianidae. The record is from RNAcentral.